AGAUGUGAGGGCGAUCUGGCUUUUUGACAUCUGUCACCCCAUUGAUAACCAGGGUUGAUUUGGCUGAUCUGGCUGGCUAGGUGGGUGUCCCCCUCCUCCCUCACUGAUCCACAAGCAUCCCUCCCGAAGCUGUGUGCUCAGUGAAAGAGGACGACCUUCCCCGCAGAGGAGAGGAUCAGUUUUGGGUCAAGGGUAUACGAGUAGCUGUGCUCCCCUGCUAGAACAAGCUCUAAAUAGAAAUAUGUUUAUUUAAUACCCUAAAUAUCCAAUCAUGUAGAUUAUCAUCACUUUUUUU
Molecule: small nuclear RNA, 295 nt
Filed under: Myotis brandtii (Brandt's bat)
Lineage: Eukaryota; Metazoa; Chordata; Mammalia; Chiroptera; Vespertilionidae
Description: 7SK RNA
Rfam family: 7SK RNA
About the family: 7SK was discovered as an abundant small nuclear RNA in the mid-70s but a possible function has only recently been suggested. Two independent studies have found that 7SK RNA binds the CDK9/cyclin T complex (known as elongation factor P-TEFb). P-TEFb activates transcription by phosphorylating the C-terminal domain of RNA polymerase II.
Source: Rfam by way of RNAcentral